Molecule: unclassified non-coding RNA, 183 nt
Filed under: soil metagenome
Description: partial internal transcribed spacer 1
Source: RNAcentral
AUGAACCUUUGAGGGUUGAGCUGGCGUUUAUUCGCAUGUGCUUGCCCUCUCAUCCUUUAUACACCUGUGCACUUUUGAAGGGGGACAUAGUAGACAUUCACUUGUCGAAGGUAUCCUCCCUUUACACUACAUACUCUAAUGAUUACUUUGAAUGUUUAAUAACGCUUAAACAGCAUUUAAUUA